This 459-nucleotide ribosomal RNA is filed under the name uncultured bacterium. Its description in RNAcentral is "partial 16S ribosomal RNA". It matches the Rfam family "Bacterial small subunit ribosomal RNA", at positions 338 to 795 of the family's 1533-position model. The record is from RNAcentral.
CCUACGUGAGGCAGCAGUGAGGAAUAUUGGUCAAUGGACGAGAGUCUGAACCAGCAAAGUAGCGUGAAGGAUGACUGUCCUCUGGGUUGUAAGCUUCUUUUAUAAAGGAAUACAACGAGGCACGUGUUCAUUUUUGCAUGUAGUUUAUGAAUAAGGCUCGGCUAACUUCGUGCCAGCAGCCGCGGCAAUAUGGAGGUUCCGAGAGUUAUCUGGAUUUAUUGUGGUUUAAGGGUGCGUAGGCGGGGAUUUAUGCCGGCGGUAAAAUGUCGGGGCUCAACCCCGGCCUGCCGGCGAAACUGGGUGCCUUGAGGGGGCGAGAAGCAUGCGGAAUGCGUGGGGUAGCGGUGAAAUGCAUAGAUAUCACGCAGAACCCCGAUGGCGAAGGCAGCAUACCGGCGCCCUACUGACGCUGAGGCACGAAAGUGCGGGUAUCGAACAGGAUUAGAUACCCUGGUAGUC